This 486-nucleotide ribosomal RNA is filed under the name uncultured bacterium. RNAcentral's name for it is "partial 16S ribosomal RNA". It matches the Rfam family "Bacterial small subunit ribosomal RNA", at positions 38 to 507 of the family's 1533-position model. The record is from RNAcentral.
GGGGGGGGGGGGGGGGGGGGGGGGGGGGGGGGGGGGGAGCGGUGGGGGCCUGGCGGGGGGGGGGGGGGAGGGGUGGCGAGCGGGUGAGUAGCACGUGAGUGACCUGCCCUCUUCGUUGGGAGCACGCCCGGACGCGGGUGGUAAUACGGGAGAUUCACUGGCCUUCGCAUUGGGGUUGGUGGCAAGGUUUUUUCUGGUGGGGGAUGGGCUCUCGGCCUAUCAGCUUGUUGGUGGGGUGAUGGCCUACCGAGGCUUUGACGGGUAGCCGGCCUGAGAGGGUGACCGGUAACAUUGGGACUGAGAUACGGCCCAGACUCCUACGGGAGGCAGCAGUGGGGAAUAUUGCACAAUGGGCGAAAGCCUGAUGCAGCGACGCCGCGUGAGGGAUGGAGGCCUUCGGGUUGUAAACCUCUGUCGCUCAUGGUCAAGCCGCAACUGUGGGUUGUGGUGAGGGUAGUGGGUAAAGAAGCGCCGGCUAACUACGUG